GCCAGACAUUAGGAUGCCUGCCCCGGUGCUGCCUGGCACAGGCCCUGCUGUGCAUUCUGGUGGUUUUUCAGAAACUCCGUGCUGAGGGGUGUCAGUCUGGACUCAGUGGUUGGGGGAUCUUCACCACCGGGGAGCCGUACCCCCACAACCACUCUGUCCUGCUAAGCCACCCCUGCCCUCCUAGCCAAAGUGUGGCCUGGCUUUUGUCUUCCCAUUUAGUUUCCUCCUUUAUUCUCCCUCUGUGCUUAAUUUAUUAAAAUAGUUGCUGUAUAAUUUAUUUUCAUAAAGUAUAAAAAAUAACUAAAUGGUUAAAAUAGACUUGCAGGCCAAUCUUCAAUGGGGGUGGGUCUGGGGUGGGCCGGGGAGAGGGAGAGAUGUUUUGAUAUAAACAAACAAAUGCACUUUGGGUGUGUUUUGGUAUUUUUCUGGGCAUAGAGGGGUGGGUGUUGGGAUGUCCCUGUAGAUUAGUUCCAGAGUGGGGUGUCUGUAAAUACUGUACUAAUAGGCAUGUGUGACUCUUGUAAAGGGACAUUAGUAGCUGCUGCAGGUCCUGUUUGGAAACCCUGUGUAUAAUUCCCGGUUUUUUGUAAGUGUCAGUGCGGGAGACAUUUGACUCUUGUGUUUGUAUCUCCUUUUUAUGAUUGCUGUACCGACCCAUGUCUUUUUGGGGAGGGAUGAAAAGAGAUUUGAAAUAAAAAUGUUUAGAAAUG
RNAcentral lists this long non-coding RNA (710 nucleotides) under Rattus norvegicus (Norway rat). Its description in RNAcentral is "long non-coding RNA NONRATT004822". The record is from RNAcentral. Lineage: Eukaryota; Metazoa; Chordata; Mammalia; Rodentia; Muridae.